This 318-nucleotide ribosomal RNA is filed under the name uncultured eukaryote. Its description in RNAcentral is "partial 18S ribosomal RNA". It matches the Rfam family "Eukaryotic small subunit ribosomal RNA", at positions 1470 to 1796 of the family's 1831-position model. The record is from RNAcentral.
CCCUUAGAUGUCCUGGGCCGCACGCGUGCUACACUGACGCAUACAGCGAGCACUUUCCAGUUCCGAGAGGCUACUGGUAAUCAUCAAUACGCGUCGUGAUGGGGAUAGAUCUUUGGAAUUCUGGAUCUUGAACGAGGAAUGCCUAGUAAUCGCAGGUCAUUAGCCUGCGAUGAUUAAGUCCCUGCCCUUUGUACACACCGCCCGUCGCUACUACCGAUUUCGAGUGGUCAGGUGAAUCUUUCGGACUGUGGGCGCCCUUGAGGUGUUCGCGGAAAGUCAGGUAAAUCUUAUCACUUAGAGGAAGUAAAAGUCGUAACA